Long non-coding RNA from Ornithodoros turicata, 577 nucleotides. RefSeq lists it as uncharacterized. The record is from RefSeq and is a predicted model, not a curated record. Lineage: Eukaryota; Metazoa; Arthropoda; Arachnida; Ixodida; Argasidae. The transcript has 3 exons.
GCAGGGAUGGAUGGAGAAUGGGAAGAGGAAACCUCUGUCAACAUUGGGAUCAAGUAGUCAAAGUAGACCGCACAAGAAGGCUCACGCCACAACGAAAAAGAAGAGGCGCACUGUUCAAGCAGCUGAAGAGUCCGCACUGGUGCAUGAAAUCCAACAUCAGUCGUCACAGUCGCUCGCUGCAGAGCUAAAGGCAUUGCGAAAAAAGUACAACCGUGUUGUACAAGAGAGGGACACGUUGAAGGAGCGAAACUUUUACCUUCAAACUGCCCUCUGCUCACGCAUUUUUGAAACAGAGAAAGAAAUGCAAAACAACCACCGUGCAAGAGCCGGCAACACAGUGCAAGAAGCCCAGCCAUUAGUGCCACCACCGCCACCAGCCUUUGAUGUGAUGCGCGAGGCUGAGACACAUAUGGCUACGUCGACAGCUGCUGCACACUUAGAUACUCAAAGCCUAGAUUCAGUACAUGAUGCAGAAGGUAGGCCAACUCCCCAACUUUGUCAUAAAGCUCAGAGCUGGGUGAUUCCACGUGAGAUCAUGCAGGUUGAACCGGUCGACUUCUUCGAUUUUUUUUUUUUU